Molecule: ribosomal RNA, 509 nt
Filed under: uncultured bacterium
Lineage: Bacteria
Description: partial 16S ribosomal RNA
Rfam family: Bacterial small subunit ribosomal RNA
Source: RNAcentral
GACGAACGCUGGCGGCGUGCUUAACACAUGCAAGUCGAACGAAGAGCGAUGGAAGCUUGCUUCUAUCAAUCUUAGUGGCGAACGGGGGAGUAACGCGUAAUCAACCUGCCCUUCAGAGGGGGACAACAGUUGGAAACGACUGCUAAUACCGCAUACGAUCCAAUCUCGGCAUCGGGACUGGAUGAAAGGUGGCCUCUAUUUAUAAGCUAUCACUGAAGGAGGGGAUUGCGUCUGAUUAGCUAGUUGGAGGGGUAACGGCCCACCAAGGCGAUGAUCAGUAGCCGGUCUGAGAGGAUGAACGGCCACAUUGGGACUGAGACACGGCCCAGACUCCUACGGGAGGCAGCAGUGGGGAAUCUUCCGCAAUGGACGAAAGUCUGACGGAGCAACGCCGCGUGAGUGAUGACGGCCUUCGGGUUGUAAAGCUCUGUUAAUCGGGACGAAUGGUUCUUGUGCGAAUAGUGCGAGGAUUUGACGGUACCGGAAUAGAAAGCCACGGCUAACUACGU